UGGAUGCUUCUGCAGCCAUGAUGCACAAAGGCCUAAGGACUGCUUGGAGCCAGUGGUAGAACUUUGUGUCAUCUACAGGGUGCUGUUUUCACAGGUAUGCAGAACACAAGAGUUGAGUCAGGAAGGCUUCCGCCCAAAUUUCCAAAGAAGGCCUGGCAGGCCAGGCUGGGUGUCCCUGAGAGGGCAGUGCAUGCAGCUGUGAGAGUUCAGCCAAAGGUGCACUGGAGAACCCAGGAUGAGGGUGCAGUCAGGAACAUGGAACACCUGCAGAAAGCCACGCACCCAAACAUGUAACCCUCAUCUAAUCAGGAAGGAAACGUCAGGAAAACUUAAAUUGAGGGACAUUCUGUAAGAUAUCAGCUCAGUCAUCCUCCAAACUGUCAGCUCAUACAAAACGAAAAAAGGAAAACUUGUGAAAACGUCAGUCAAGGGGCGUCUGAGGGAUGCAACAAUGAAGUGCAAUGUGGCAGCCCGGACGGGACUGCAGAUUGUUGUGGAGAGCAAGUGGUGAAGGUGGAUCUUAGGUAGUAAUUAUACAUCAAUAUCUGCUCACUCCUUGUACAGGAUGUACUAGACUAAGGGAUGACAUUAAUAACAGGAAAUGGAAGAACUGGGUGGCCAUCUUAGUUGUAUAUAAAUCUAAAACUCGUCAUGUAUAUAAGCUGUACUACGAGUUGUUGUUGUUUUGGUAUUUUUGGUUUUUCCUUCUUUUGGUACCGGGGAUUGAACUCAGGACCUUGUGCUGGUGAGGCAGGCAUGGUGCCACUGAGCUAAAUCCCCGGCCCUUCAAGCUCUGUUAUGUACAUGUAGCCACUCCUCAAAUGAUUGUGAACUGCACAAUAAAAAUAAACAACCAUGUAAACUGCAGGCCUGCUUUCUAACACUGAAUCUCCCACCCUCAGCCAUAAUAGAACCCUAAAUGUAUUCCUAAACCUCAACCAAAUCCCAACAAAAACCGCAACCCAAAGUGCACCUUGCCCCUUGGUCCUAAGCCACUUCCUCACCCUAACUGUAGCGAAACUUUGAGGAUGCGACCUCACUUCCUUGGUAUUAGAACCCAGCGAAACUGGGUGCCCUUCUGAAGCUGUCUCCCGUCCUGACCCCUUGGAGGGAGACAGAGAAGAGGGGAGGAUGAGCUGUUGCCAUUUUCCCGCUUCCCGAAGGUCUAGCCACAGAAAGGACCGCAAUCCGAGAUUUUUCCGACCUUGGCUCGGCUCUGGCCGCAGAUGUUUCCGGCUAAUGUUCAGGAGGAACCCACAUGUGAGAGAGGCAGCCCAGUGCCCAUCCUGGACGUCAGUGCCAGCCGUGAGCUCUCAUGGGCAGUGCUUCCCCUCGCGCUCAGGGUAUGUAAGGGGCCUGCUUGGACAGGGUCAGGCUGUGAGGUGUCAGAGCUCUGUCCCGCCGCCCCAACCCCCCGCAGCCCCCACUUCAUGGCUGGAGCGCCACCUCUCCCAUUUUGGAAACCUGGUCCGAAUGGCACCAUCCACCGGACAUUCCCCAAAUCAAGAUCAAAAGGGCCGGCUUGCAAGUGAACUCACCUGGAGCAGACAUGGAGCCUCCCUUGUGCCUUCCCCUUGCUCAGGUGGAAUAUCUAGAGCCCCACGAGGCCGAAACAGAUGGUGAGGGCCACAGCAGUCCGGAAGGCUUUCAUGGCUUUUGCUUGGGCAUUGGAAUCCCCCAAAUGGCCAGGAUGUCUUUGCUAUGCUCCGCAGGGAGCUGGCAAGUGACUGACACUGCUGAGCUUUCCUCCUGCUAGCUCCGGCUCCAUGUCCAGAACACCAUGGGCCUGCUCUGCAGCCAGAGCCAGCACCAGAG
Molecule: long non-coding RNA, 1815 nt
Filed under: Heterocephalus glaber (naked mole-rat)
Lineage: Eukaryota; Metazoa; Chordata; Mammalia; Rodentia; Bathyergidae
Description: lncRNA (ENSHGLG00000037208.1)
Source: RNAcentral